AGAACUUCCUGGAGGCAGCUUCUGAGGACUGAAGUCCACGUCUUCUUGCUGGAUGUUGGCUGGUGUCAUUCUCACUCCUAGAGGCCACUGCAUUCCUUCCACGAUGGCUUGAACACCUCCAUCAUCAGAGCCAGCAAGCAAGAGCACGCUGAAGACGCUUCGAGAUGCAGCAAGACGCCUGUAAUCCCAGCCCUUUGGGAGACCGAGGCAGGUGGAUCACGAGGUCAGGAGAUCGAGACCAUCCUGGCCAACAUGGUGAAGCCCCGUCUCUACUGAAAUACAAAAAGUUAGCCAGACGUGGUGGCACGUGUCUAUAGUCCCAGCUACUCGGAGGCUGAGGCAGGGGAAUCGCUUGAACCCGGGAGGCGGAAAUUGCAGUGAGCUGAGAUUGCGCCACUGCACUCCAGCCUGGCAACAGAGCGAGACUCCAUCUCAAAAAAAAAGGUGCUGCAAGACGCUUCCAAUCUCUGUGACUUCCCCUUCUGCCAUACCUCUUUACUUUUUCCCCCUCUUUUGGGGAGGGGGGAGGGUUUAAAAUAAAUAUAAAAUUUACCAUCAUAACUGUGAAAGGAAAAUAAAUCUCAGGACUCCAAAAUCACUAAGCCAAAGGGAAAAGUCAAGCUGGGAACUGCGUUGGGCAAACUGCCUCGCCUUUUCUUCUUUAAUAAAAUAGCUACGAAGAUUUAAAAAGCUACAUACCUCCCUCACAAUUUGCCCGCUAGGAAAUUUUUCGUGGGCACCCAAGAUCUUUACCCUAAAACAGUUUUGUUGAAUUUUACCCUAACAAUGUACAUUGACAACUGAUCUUCACAGGUUCCAAACAAAGGAUGGAACUCUAAGUCAUCCCUCUGCUCACCUGAUUGCUUCCUCUGGUAUAAAAGUGCAGAUUCACCGAGCCAGACUAAGGCAUAAGUGACUAUUCCUCUACCCCCGCAACCUGUAAAUUGUGUAUUUCAGUGAAAGUCUGAUCAAAGACUCACAAGAAUGCAACCUUUGUCUCUUAUCUCUCCACAUAUUUUUAAAAUUUCUCCCUCUUUCCCAAUAUCCACCCUUUCCCUUUUUUUUUUUUUUUUUUUUUUUUGAGACAGAGUCUUGCUUCGUUGCCCAGGCUAGAGUGCAGUGGUGCGAUCUCAGGUCACUCAGCAACCUCCGCCACAGCACCUGGCCAGUUUCCCCUUUAAAUAUUGAAGUCCUACAAAUCAUCCUUGAAGGAAGGCAUAGACCUGCCUCCCAGGCACUCCUUAACCUUGGCAAAAUAAACUUACUAAAUAGAUCGAGACCUGUCUCAGAUAUUUUUAGUUCACAUAACUAUAUUGAAGUGUACAGCUCAUUGAUAUUAAAUAUAUUAAUGAUGCUAUACAACUAUCACCUCCAACUCCAGAACUCUUUUUAUCUUGCAAAACUGAAAUUCUGGACCCAUUAAGCACUGACUCCUCAUUCCCUCAGCCCCUGGAAACCACCAUUCUCCUUUCUAUCCCUAAGAUUUUGGCGACUCUAGGUUCCUCAUUUAAGUGGAAUCCUGCAGUAUUUGUUCUUUUGUGACUGGCUUAUGUCAUUUAGCCUAAAAUCCUCAAGGUUCAUCCAUGUAGCAUGUGUCCAAAUUUCCUUCCUUUUUAAAGCUGAAUAAUACUCCACUGUAUGUAUCCAUGACAUUUUGCUUAUCCAGUCAUCCAUGGAUGGGCACUGGGUUGCUUCCACCUUUUGACUAUUGUGAAUAAUG
RNAcentral lists this long non-coding RNA (1720 nucleotides) under Homo sapiens (human). RNAcentral describes it as "HSALNT0177505". The record is from RNAcentral. Lineage: Eukaryota; Metazoa; Chordata; Mammalia; Primates; Hominidae.